GGGGGGGGGGGGGGGCGGGGCGAGGGGAUGCAGGGGGGGGGGAGGGAGGGGGCGUGCGCCGGGAGGCAGCGGCGGGCGGGGGAGUAAUGCCUAGGAGUCUGCCGGGUAGGGGGGGAGAACGUCCGGACACGGGCGCUAAUAACGCAUACGUCCUGAGGGAGAACGUGGGUGAUCUUCGGACCCUACGCGAUCAGAUGAGCCUAGGGAGGAUUACGUAGUACGUGGUGUAAAGGACUACCAAGCAGACGAUCCGUAAAUGGGGUUAGAGGAUGAUCAGUCACACUGGAACUGCGACACGGUCCAGACUCCUACGGGAGGCAGCAGUGGGGAAUAUUGGACAAUGGGCGAAAGCCUGAUCCAGCCAUGCCGCGUGUGUGAAGAAGGUCUUCGGAUUGUAAAGCACUUUAAGUUGGGAGGAAGGGCAGUAAGUUAAUACCUUGCUGUUUUGACGUUACCAACAGAAUAAGCACCGGCUAACUUCGUG
This 484-nucleotide ribosomal RNA is filed under the name uncultured bacterium. RNAcentral's name for it is "partial 16S ribosomal RNA". It matches the Rfam family "Bacterial small subunit ribosomal RNA", at positions 39 to 507 of the family's 1533-position model. The record is from RNAcentral.